UCUUUUUCUUUUUUCCUUGGUUGGACUUUAUUCCCACAUACACUAGCCCCCACAGUUAACACACACACACACGUAUGUACACAUACAUGUGCAUGUGAUCUUACGGGCAGGUGUGCAAUGUCAGGAUGAAAAAGGAGUCAGAGACAAUACCCAGACCCCCUUAUCCCCAAAAUGGCCACCCUCGCGGAUUUACAGAGGGCUAAUAUCAGCCAAACCCUUGAGACCUUCUAAACACACUACUUUGUGUGUUUUUUCAGCAGCCGGGUCCGACACGUCACAGGGUUCUUUUUAUUUAUUUUAUUACAGCUACAGUGAUAGAGCGUACUUUGUCUUCCCUCUGCCUUCAGUGAUGUGGAGAAACGGGGCUGCGUAUUCUCCGAGCUGGAUGCCUGUGUAGAAUUUUGUUCCUGCGUGGGUGUGCAUAUGGCAUAUGUGUGUGUGGUAGCCAGAGAGGAGGCAGGUGGCCUGUGUGCAUCGCUGCGUCAGGAUCGAUUAGUUCCAGAGACAGAGACAAGAUGUGAAGAUCCAGCAGUAUUCUGUCAAAACAACGGGCUCGUCUCCAGACAGCUGGAUUUCCACUCAGACCAUCACAUGGACUGUUCCCAUUGUCCUGAUCUGUCGCUGCAGCAGGGAGUCCUCACGAGGGGGAAUAUACUGCCUAAGUCUGACUGCCAUUUGCCGUUAUCUAGCUCCGCCGUCCACAGCCACGCAACUAUAGCCCGAGGCCUCCGACCAUCAUCAAGUGAGGAGAAAUCCCCAAAACAGCACGCGCUGCUGCUUCUGUUGUGUAUCAAAGCAGACGGAGGAGAAACCAAACAAAGUGUGCAUGGAGACCAGCAGCGAAACCUUAAAGGCCAUUGAUGCUUUGCAUUUACAGCAAGAGUGUAACACCGAAAGAGCCUUUUCAGUGCUGAUGUGUCGUUUCUCUCAAAAUAAAGCACCUCAUUUGAUAUCAGA
Molecule: long non-coding RNA, 957 nt
Filed under: Sparus aurata (gilthead seabream)
Lineage: Eukaryota; Metazoa; Chordata; Actinopteri; Spariformes; Sparidae
Description: lncRNA (ENSSAUG00010004178.1)
Source: RNAcentral